UCUGUGGUGGUCCAGUGGUUAAGAUGCUGCACUUCCAAUGCAGGGGGCAUGGGUUCAAUCCCUGGUCAGACAA
Molecule: transfer RNA, 73 nt
Filed under: Bos taurus (domestic cattle)
Lineage: Eukaryota; Metazoa; Chordata; Mammalia; Artiodactyla; Bovidae
Also listed under: 4 other names
Rfam family: tRNA
About the family: Transfer RNA (tRNA) molecules are approximately 80 nucleotides in length. Their secondary structure includes four short double-helical elements and three loops (D, anti-codon, and T loops).
Source: Rfam by way of RNAcentral